GCUUAGUAUCUUUUGUAGGGAUUUGAAGACAAUAUUGACUAAAUUGGGAGGAGAAGCAAUUUUGAAAAGACAUAUGGGUCAGGUGACAUCUCUCCUUUUUUUUCUUUUUGUCUGCACCUUUUUAUUUUUCCUACUCUAUUGAGGGCAAUAUCAAUUAAGUUGGGAGAGAGAAUAAUAAUUUUUUUAAAAUUUUUUUUGAGUAAGUUAGUAUUUAGUAUUUAAGCACAUGAUUACGCUUAAGAAUCAAGUUAAACUAAGUAUUUUUUAAAAAAAUUAAUAUAUAGAUUAGAGAGUUUAUGAGAUACCGAG
This 309-nucleotide long non-coding RNA is filed under the name Elaeis guineensis (African oil palm). RNAcentral's name for it is "long non-coding RNA (EGUI_LNC074810)". The record is from RNAcentral. Lineage: Eukaryota; Viridiplantae; Streptophyta; Magnoliopsida; Arecales; Arecaceae.